Molecule: unclassified non-coding RNA, 348 nt
Filed under: soil metagenome
Description: partial contains 5.8S ribosomal RNA, internal transcribed spacer 2, and large subunit ribosomal RNA
Rfam family: 5.8S ribosomal RNA (bases 1-120)
Source: RNAcentral
GAUGAAGAACGUAGCGAAAUGCAAUAAGUAAUGUGAAUUGCAGAAUUCAGUGAAUCAUCGAGUCUUUGAACGCACAUUGCGCCCCCUGGUAUUCCGGGGGGCAUGCCUGUCCGAGCGUCAUUGCUGCCCUCAAGCACGGCUUGUGUGUUGGGCCCCGCCCCCCGGCUCCCGGGGGGCGGGCCCGAAAGGCAGCGGCGGCACCGCGUCCGGUCCUCGAGCGUAUGGGGCUUCGUCACCCGCUCCGUAGGCCCGGCCGGCGCCCGCCGGCGACCCCCCUCAAUCUUUUCAGGUUGACCUCGGAUCAGGUAGGGAUACCCGCUGAACUUAAGCAUAUCAAUAAGCGGAGGA